UACAGAGAUCGAGCCAAUUGCACCAAUUAGAAAUUCAGAGAGAAAAAGAAAAGGAACAGGAGAAAAAAGCUGAAUGCCAGAAGCUGCAUCAUGAAUAUGUAGCUGAACAGAAAAUAAUUAAAGCUGAAGAGAAGCAAAAAGAAGACAAAGACAAUGAUCGGAUUAAAGCUUAUAUUAAAGAAAAAGAAAUGAUGGCUGAUCUGACAAGAGAAAAAUAUGCAGAGACUAACAGGAUGAUACAGAAGCAUAAGGACAAAGCUUUGGAACAAUUAACUGCACAGAUGAAUGAAGCAUUUAAGAUUGAAGAUGAUCGUCUUGCUAGAGGAGCUGCAGAGGUAGAAGUUGAAUACCAAAUGAAAAACAAAGAGAAAGAAAUUAAAAAAAAGGCUGCCAUUGAAUCUAUUGAAGAGCACAGAGCCACUGUGAUAAAGAUGAAAGAGGAAAAAGAGAGACAGGAAAAGGCAGAGGAUGAGAAGGAUCGUAAUCAGAAGAUGACAGAAGAGGACAUCUACCUGGAAAUGGAAAAAGC
RNAcentral lists this long non-coding RNA (529 nucleotides) under Malurus cyaneus samueli. RNAcentral describes it as "lncRNA (ENSMCSG00000015566.1)". Lineage: Eukaryota; Metazoa; Chordata; Aves; Passeriformes; Maluridae. The record is from RNAcentral.